RNAcentral lists this non-coding RNA (148 nucleotides) under Homo sapiens (human). Lineage: Eukaryota; Metazoa; Chordata; Mammalia; Primates; Hominidae. The record is from Rfam by way of RNAcentral.
GCCGGGCAUGGCGGCAUGUGCCUAUAGUCCCAGCUACUUGGGAGGCUGAGGCAGGAGAAUUGCUUGAACCCAGGAGGCGGAGGUUGCAGUGAGCCAAGAUCAUGCCACUGCACUCCACCCUGGGUGACACAGCAAGACUCUGCCUCAC